AUACGUAGGUGGCGAGCGUUGUCCGGAAUUACUGGGUGUAAAGGGCGUGUAGGCGGGGAUGCAAGUCAGAUGUGAAAUACUAAGGCUUAACCUUGGGGCUGCAUCUGAAACUGUGUUUCUUGAGUGUCGGAGAGGAAAGCGGAAUUCCCAGUGUAGCGGUGAAAUGCGUAGAGAUUGGGAGGAACACCAGUGGCGAAGGCGGCUUUCUGGACGACAACUGACGCUGAGGCGCGAAAGCGUGGGGAGCAAACAGGAUUAGAUACCCUGGUAGUCCACGCCGUAAACGAUGGAUACUAGGUGUAGGAGGUAUCGACCCCUUCUGUGCCGGAGUUAACACAAUAAGUAUUCCGCCUGGGGAGUACGGUCGCAAGAUUAAA
RNAcentral lists this ribosomal RNA (377 nucleotides) under uncultured bacterium. RNAcentral describes it as "bacterial SSU rRNA". It matches the Rfam family "Bacterial small subunit ribosomal RNA", at positions 523 to 898 of the family's 1533-position model. The record is from RNAcentral.